This is a long non-coding RNA of Xenopus laevis (African clawed frog), 596 nucleotides long. RefSeq lists it as uncharacterized. NCBI's taxonomy places the organism in Eukaryota, Metazoa, Chordata, Amphibia, Anura, Pipidae. The record is from RefSeq and is a predicted model, not a curated record. The transcript has 3 exons.
AGGUAGUGUAGGACAUCAUGCCCAGGGGUAAAUGAUUGACAUUUUACAAAAUAUUUAGAUUAGAUGGUGAUAGUUUAACUUUUGGAGACUACCCUUCAAUUCCAAUUGGUUAGUUAAUUAAUCCCAGGGGUUGAGUUUUAGACAGAAAGAAGGGAUAAAUUAGGAGACACUGGGGUACUAAAAAAGAAGAGGAGGAAAAAGAAUUAAAAAAAGAAGAAACUAAAAAAGGAAGGAGGAUAAGAAAAGCAGGGCUGACUGAAGAAGAAAAACUCUACAUCUGAAAGAAAGAGAAGGAAAGAAAUCUAAAACUACUUGGAGACUCUCAACUAUAAGAAGACUCAUUCUUCAACUAAAAAGAAAAGAACCAGUGGGGUUUAAAGAUCCAGAAAGUGAGAUCAGGGUGACAUCACAGGCCAGUGAAAACUCUACAUCUGCAGGACUACUUUUAGCAGACCUCAACCGUAACAAUCGGCGGAAACUGUGUAUCAUCAUCUUUAAAAAUGGAACACUCAGCAAACACAGCUUUGAAAGCCGGCCCAGGCAUGUGGAAUGGGGUAAAGUCACGUACCCAAACAAGCACAUGGAGGAUAUGAAAG